This 463-nucleotide ribosomal RNA is filed under the name uncultured bacterium. RNAcentral describes it as "partial 16S ribosomal RNA". It matches the Rfam family "Bacterial small subunit ribosomal RNA", at positions 28 to 507 of the family's 1533-position model. The record is from RNAcentral.
GAUGAACGCUGACAGAAUGCUUAACACAUGCAAGUCUUUGGCGAAGCUGUGCUUGCACAGCCUAGCCAAGGCGGACGGGUGAGUAACGCGUAAGGAACUUGCCCUGCAGUCAGGGAUAACAGACGGAAACGACUGAUAAGACCUGGUAAAGUCAGGCGGACUCAUGUCCAGCCUGAUGAAAAGAGAUGCUGCAGGAGAGCCUUGCGUCCUAUUAGCUUGUUGGUGGGGUAACGGCCCACCAAGGCGAUGAUAGGUAGCCGGCCUGAGAGGGUGGACGGCCACAAGGGGACUGAGAUACGGCCCUUACUCCUACAGGAGGCAGCAGUGGGGAAUAUUGGACAAUGGGGGCAACCCUGAUCCAGCAAUUCUGUGUGCACGAUGAAGGUUUUCGGAUUGUAAAGUGCUUUCAGCAGGGAAGAAAAAAAUGACGGUACCUGCAGAAGAAGCGACGGCUAAAUACGUG